AUGGCCGUGUUGGAGAACGCGGUCCUUGCGUCGCAGCUGGUCGAGGCCCGCCGGAUGGGCGAAGAGACCCGGUCUACCGCCGCGUCCGCCGCACAGGAGGCUGCCCGCGAGAAGGCCGUCUUGGCGGCGCAGGCGGCGGACCGGGGUGAGGCCCUGGCGAGCUCCCGCCGCGACCUCGAGGCCGUCAGGCAACAAGUCGCCUCUCUUCAUGGCCGGCUUGUCACUGUGGCCACGGAGAGGGACCGGCUUCUGGCUAUUGCCCGCGAUCGCGAUACGGAGCUCACCGCCGCGUGCUCGGAACUUGAAGAGCUGCACUCCCGACGAGCAAAGGAUGCCGCCGUGGUGAACGAGGCCCUCACCCAGCAUGAGGAGCUGAUGGCGCUCACGCAGCGGCUCGCCGAGGGUGCAAUAGGUACGUACCGUGACUCCCCGCCUUGCUUGGCCGUGAAGGUGAUUUUUCUGUGGCGCGCCCUUCUUCUUCCUCUACCCUUUCUCAGGAAAAGUCACGGAGCUCAAGCUGUCUAG
This 525-nucleotide ribosomal RNA is filed under the name Triticum aestivum (bread wheat). RNAcentral describes it as "partial small subunit ribosomal RNA". Lineage: Eukaryota; Viridiplantae; Streptophyta; Magnoliopsida; Poales; Poaceae. The record is from RNAcentral.